Oncorhynchus tshawytscha (Chinook salmon) is the source of this 416-nucleotide long non-coding RNA. The record is from Ensembl. NCBI's taxonomy places the organism in Eukaryota, Metazoa, Chordata, Actinopteri, Salmoniformes, Salmonidae.
GCACUGCUCACCUGAUCUUUGUCCUGCACCCCGACAGGACAAAGCAGGGAGCCCAUGUGAGGGAUGCAGGUUUCCAGCAGCCAACAGUGGCUUUCAGGCUGAGAGUGGGUCAGUACCCAUAGAAGGAGGCCUCUGUGCCCUGGACACCCACGUCACCUCACUCUCCUCCUAAACAACAACAACAGUGAAGAGACCAGAGCCUCGAUGUCUCUUCUCCCCUCUGAAGCCCUCCUCAGGCACCUCAGAGCAGCAGCUGAGUGGUGUGGUGACAGCAGAGCAGGACUAUUGUCUGACCUGUGAUAGACAGAGACAUGCCCACAAAGAAGCCCUCAGGCAAGCCUGGAUUGACAGAAUGACCAUGCAGUGACUGAGGGACCUAAUUCAGCUGAGUAAAGAUGAAGCAGAACGCAUCCAGA